This 444-nucleotide ribosomal RNA is filed under the name Bacillus sp. oral taxon F16. RNAcentral describes it as "bacterial SSU rRNA". It matches the Rfam family "Bacterial small subunit ribosomal RNA", at positions 28 to 462 of the family's 1533-position model. The record is from RNAcentral. Lineage: Bacteria; Bacillati; Bacillota; Bacilli; Caryophanales; Bacillaceae.
GACGAACGCUGGCGGCGUGCCUAAUACAUGCAAGUCGAGCGGAGAUUUAAAAGCUUGCUUUUAAAUCUUAGCGGCGGACGGGUGAGUAACACGUGGGCAACCUGCCCUGUAGACUGGGAUAACUUCGGGAAACCGAAGCUAAUACUGGAUAAUCUUUAGCGUCACAUGGCGCAAAAGUAAAAGUUGGGUUUACCUAACACUACAGGAUGGGCCCGCGGCGCAUUAGCUAGUUGGUAAGGUAAUGGCUUACCAAGGCGACGAUGCGUAGCCGACCUGAGAGGGUGAUCGGCCACACUGGGACUGAGACACGGCCCAGACUCCUACGGGAGGCAGCAGUAGGGAAUCUUCCGCAAUGGACGAAAGUCUGACGGAGCAACGCCGCGUGAACGAUGAAGGCCUUCGGGUCGUAAAGUUCUGUUGUUAGGGAAGAACAAGUACCGUUCA